Molecule: ribosomal RNA, 1040 nt
Filed under: Aneurinibacillus migulanus
Lineage: Bacteria; Bacillati; Bacillota; Bacilli; Caryophanales; Paenibacillaceae
Description: bacterial LSU rRNA
Rfam family: Bacterial large subunit ribosomal RNA
Source: RNAcentral
CGUCUCUCCGAGACGUACCCUGAGUAGGGCGGGACACGUGAAACCCCGUCUGAAUCCGGGAGGACCAUCUCCCAAGGCUAAAUACUACCUGGCGACCGAUAGUGAACCAGUACCGUGAGGGAAAGGUGAAAAGCACCCCGGGAGGGGAGUGAAAGAGAUCCUGAAACCGUGUGCCUACAAUUAGUCGGAGCACAAUCAAUGUGUGACGGCGUGCCUUUUGUAGAAUGAACCGGCGAGUUACGGUUGCGUGCAAGGUUAAGUCUGAGAAGACGGAGCCGCAGCGAAAGCGAGUCUGAAUAGGGCGAAUGAGUACGUAGCCGUAGACCCGAAACCGUGUGAUCUACCCAUGUCCAGGGUGAAGGUGCGGUAACACGCACUGGAGGCCCGAACCCACGUACGUUGAAAAGUGCGGGGAUGAGGUGUGGGUAGCGGAGAAAUUCCAAUCGAACUCGGAGAUAGCUGGUUCUCCCCGAAAUAGCUUUAGGGCUAGCCUCGGAUUCCUGUACCGGAGGUAGAGCACUGAUUGGAUGCGGGCCCCUCGCGGGGUACCAAAUUCAGUCAAACUCCGAAUGCCGGAUACAGCAGGUCCGGGAGUCAGACUGCGAGUGCUAAGAUCCGUAGUCAAAAGGGAAACAGCCCAGAUCACCAGCUAAGGUCCCUAAAUGUACGCUAAGUGGGAAACGAUGUGGAGUUGCCCAGACAACCAGGAUGUUGGCUUAGAAGCAGCCACCAUUUAAAGAGUGCGUAAUAGCUCACUGGUCGAGUGACUCUGCGCGGAAAAUGUAACGGGGCUAAGCGUACUACCGAAGCUGUGGAUUGACACCAACGGUGUCAGUGGUAGGGGAGCGUUCCUGCAGCAGUGAAGUCAGACCGGAAGGACUGGUGGAGCGGCAGGAAGUGAGAAUGCCGGUGUAAGUAGCGAAAAGAGAGGUGAGAAUCCUCUCCGCCGAAAGCCUAAGGGUUCCUGGGGAAGGCUCGUCCUCCCAGGGUUAGUCGGGACCUAAGCCGAGGCUGAAAAGCGUAGGCGAUGGACAACAGGU